Molecule: ribosomal RNA, 428 nt
Filed under: Chloroflexota bacterium
Lineage: Bacteria; Bacillati; Chloroflexota
Description: Chloroflexi bacterium partial 16S ribosomal RNA
Rfam family: Bacterial small subunit ribosomal RNA
Source: RNAcentral
UGGGGAAUAUUGCACAAUGGGCGCAAGCCUGAUGCAGCCAUGCCGCGUGUAUGAAGAAGGCCUUCGGGUUGUAAAGUACUUUCAGUCGGGAGGAAGGUGUCAAGGUUAAUAACCUUGGCAAUUGACGUUACCGACAGAAGAAGCACCGGCUAACUCCGUGCCAGCAGCCGCGGUAAUACGGAGGGUGCAAGCGUUAAUCGGAAUUACUGGGCGUAAAGCGCACGCAGGCGGUCUGUCAAGUCGGAUGUGAAAUCCCCGGGCUCAACCUGGGAACGGCAUUCGAAACUGGCAGGCUAGAGUCUUGUAGAGGGGGGUAGAAUUCCAGGUGUAGCGGUGAAAUGCGUAGAGAUCUGGAGGAAUACCGGUGGCGAAGGCGGCCCCCUGGACAAAGACGGACGCUCAGGUGCGAAAGCGUGGGAGCAAACAGG